This is a non-coding RNA of Electrophorus electricus (electric eel), 306 nucleotides long. The record is from RefSeq and is a predicted model, not a curated record. Lineage: Eukaryota; Metazoa; Chordata; Actinopteri; Gymnotiformes; Gymnotidae.
UUCAGUGACUCUGAUCUGCAACAGUGAUGCCAACCCAUCUGUGCAGAACUUCAACUGGUUUAAAGAAGGAAGAACCUCACCUGUAGGAUCUGGACAGAAUUACAGAGUUCUACAGAGUGGAUUCUACUAUUGUGCAGCUCAGAACCAUCAUGGAGCUCAGAAUUCAUCUACUGUGUCUGUCUUAAUAAAAGGCUCUUCCAUCAUUCUUAAUAUAGCUGUCGGAGUAACAGUGUGUGGGCUCUCUGCUCUUCUUGUGCUGGCAUUCUGGAUGAGGAGGAAUAGGAGUAAGAGAAAGAAAUACCACAG